Long non-coding RNA from Aplysia californica (California sea hare), 332 nucleotides. RefSeq lists it as uncharacterized. The record is from RefSeq and is a predicted model, not a curated record. Lineage: Eukaryota; Metazoa; Mollusca; Gastropoda; Aplysiida; Aplysiidae. The transcript is spliced from 3 exons.
AGCCGGUUGUCUCCCGUGGCCAGCAGAGGUCGGGAGUUGGGAAGGAAGAAACUUGGAGUGUUGAAAGCCAGUGCAAUCUCCUGAACACACGAGCCCGCCUUCGGGACAAAGCAUGGCGUCUGGAAGAGGAGGGGGGAGAUACCAGGCUUGGCCUACAUCUGCAACAACCGCAGCAGCAGCAACAGCAGCUGAUACAGCAGCAACAACAGCCGGGGCCAGCGACAGGGGAGAUAAUGGAGCUGCCCAAGACCUGGGGAUGAGCACCACUCGGUCCAGCCGAGACAACAGACGGCGACUCACGAAGCGCGCGCUGUCGUCCCAGUUUUCCGAAG